Molecule: ribosomal RNA, 426 nt
Filed under: uncultured bacterium
Lineage: Bacteria
Description: bacterial SSU rRNA
Rfam family: Bacterial small subunit ribosomal RNA
Source: RNAcentral
UAGGAAUCUUGCACAAUGGGCGAAAGCCUGAUGCAGCAACGCCGCGUGAGUGAAGAAGGCCUUCGGGUUGUAAAGCUCUUUCGGCUGGGAAGAAGGGUGGACGGGUGAAUAAUCCGGCUAUUUGACUGUACCAGAAGAAGAAGCACCGGCUAACUCCGUGCCAGCAGCCGCGGUAAUACGGAGGGUGCAAGCGUUAUUCGGAAUCACUGGGCGUAAAGGGCGCGUAGGCGGGCGCAUAAGUCGAUUGUGAAAGCCCCGGGCUCAGCCUGGGAAUGGCAGUCGAUACUGUGUGUCUUGAGUGCUUGAGAGGGUGGUGGAAUUCCUGGUGUAGAGGUGAAAUUCGUAGAUAUCAGGAGGAACACCGGAGGCGAAGGCGGCCACCUGGCAAGACACUGACGCUGAGGCGCGAAAGCGCGGGGAUCAAAC